AGAUAUCUAUAAAUAACCUCAAACCCCCAAACUCUGAACCAACAGAAGGAAGAUCUUUAAUGUCUUCUUUCAAAAACAAUGGAGUGUCUGACGCUGUGCUAGUGAAAAUAACAUCAGCUUCAGCAGCACAAGUUAGCAUCUCAUCCAGGGGUUUGUAAAUAAUCUCAGCAUCCUUCAGCUCUUCACGUAUAGUUGCAACUCUCUCCUCACUUCUGUUUACGACAACCAUCUUUGUGCAACCCUUUGCCACCAAGUGUUUGAUCACAAGCUUCCCCAUCUUGCCAGCUCCAAUCACCAACAUUCUGGCUGUAGCAUGUGAAGAUUCGGGAAGCUUCAUCAAAGCCAAUUCAACAGCUGCAGAGCUUACAGAAACAGCCCCCGCAGCAAUAUUUGUCUCGGUCCUAACCCGCUUUCCAACAGAUAUUGCAUGUUUAAAGAGCCCACUAAUGUUCCUUCCAAAGCCAACAACUCCUUGGCCAACUUUGACAACUUGUUUAAC
RNAcentral lists this unclassified non-coding RNA (499 nucleotides) under Hevea brasiliensis (rubber tree). The record is from RNAcentral. Lineage: Eukaryota; Viridiplantae; Streptophyta; Magnoliopsida; Malpighiales; Euphorbiaceae.